RNAcentral lists this non-coding RNA (25 nucleotides) under Cricetulus griseus (Chinese hamster). Lineage: Eukaryota; Metazoa; Chordata; Mammalia; Rodentia; Cricetidae. The record is from RNAcentral.
GAUGAUUCUGUUCAGGACGCACUGC